UACGCAGGGGGCUAGCGUUGCUCGGAAUGACUGGGCGUAAAGGGCGCGUAGGCGGAUGGCACAGUCAGAUGUGAAAUUCCCGGGCUUAACCUGGGGGCUGCAUUUGAUACGUGUUGUCUUGAGUUCGGAAGAGGGUCGUGGAAUUCCCAGUGUAGAGGUGAAAUUCGUAGAUAUUGGGAAGAACACCGGUGGCGAAGGCGGCGACCUGGUCCGACACUGACGCUGAGGCGCGAAAGCGUGGGGAGCAAACAGG
Molecule: ribosomal RNA, 253 nt
Filed under: uncultured bacterium
Lineage: Bacteria
Description: partial 16S ribosomal RNA
Rfam family: Bacterial small subunit ribosomal RNA
Source: RNAcentral